CACAUGUUCGGGAGUUCCUGUGCUCAAUCCGUUUCCUUCUUUUUGUUGCCAGGUAUCUUGUUAGACACAUCUAUUUUUUCUCUGAACUAUAAUAAGUUACAGAUAAAGUUCAUGGAAACCUUGAAAGCACAUAUAAGUUACACAUCUAUUUGUUCUCUGAGCCAGGGUACAUGUCUUCUUGGUUUACUUUUUGCAUAUUUGGUUUUAGAAGAAAUUAGAAAGAUGCAAUGGCAUAUUCUGCUCAUACAAGGUGAUAUGGACUUGUAUAAAUCUUUCCCUGCAUUUGCAAGUUGUUAAACGAAGUUUGUUUUUCAUUUCCAAUUUAGUUAUUCCUUUCUAGUUUAGUUUCCGUUUUCUUGCCAACUUAUUUGAAGCUCAUUUCACAAAUUAGCCGAUCUUUGUGAGAAAGCUCUUAAUAUAAUUGCACCAAACGGGUUUGACAAAAAUAGUGCAUAUUUCAUAUGCAAGAAGUAUGCUUAACUUUCAUUUUGACAUAUUAUAUUUCAAUUUAUAAAAUUAAACAGAACACUUUAACUUGUAAAAUUAAAUAAAUUAAACAACUAUUAAAUAUUUGAAAAUGUAAAAAAUAUUAUUCAAAAGAUUAUGCUAACUGCAAAUCAAUUGUUUUGCUUAUAAAAUUGAAAAAUCCUAAAACAGAAAUAUUGUUGCUAGUAUGGAAAAGUGUAUAAUAUUAUUAAAAUUUGUAAUUUCAAAUACACAAAAGAUCAUCCACAAAAUUUAAGGUGCUAUAAGAUUAAACACUAAACAGACAUUAAUGCACACGAACAGACAUUUUUUCAUCAAAUUUAUCUCGAGAGAAUAAAGAACAGAAAAUCCUUGCCGCAAAGAUUAUGAUUAAUACACAAAAGGGGCAAUAAAAGAUCCCAAAGGCAAAAAGUACAAGUAAUGAAAUCACUAAAGAUAUUAGCAAAACUUACACUCGGAAGAAACCAGAGGUCUCUUCCUUACACAGGUUAUCUUUACAGCUAUUCCACAUAUUUUCGAUUAAACAUAUCUGCCCUUAUAUCUUUAUUACCACAUGUUACAAAGAAUAUUAAAACCAUAAAACCUUAACUUUCACCACCAAAUAACACAUUUUAUCGCCAAUAUCCCAUAGCUACUACUGGAAGCCUUACUUUGUGCCCUCGGCUGCCUUUCAUUAAAAUUUCUCCAAAACUAUAUGUUCCUGUUACUGAUCGAACGGUAAGAGUAACCGAGAACUUCCUUGAUGCACCAGGCUUUAGAGUCAUUGCCGAAGGGUUAGUUUCAAUGGCAAUGGCCGGUUGCAUUCUGGCCGUGAUCACGUAGGUUUCUUCCUCGGCAACAUUUGUGACCGUGCGAGUGAAUGUUUGAGAUUUUACUAGAUGGGAUACUGCGAUUGAUGGG
This 1386-nucleotide long non-coding RNA is filed under the name Jatropha curcas. Its description in RNAcentral is "long non-coding RNA (JCUR_LNC002609)". The record is from RNAcentral. Lineage: Eukaryota; Viridiplantae; Streptophyta; Magnoliopsida; Malpighiales; Euphorbiaceae.